RNAcentral lists this long non-coding RNA (301 nucleotides) under Coffea arabica (coffee). RNAcentral describes it as "long non-coding RNA (CARA_LNC008212)". The record is from RNAcentral. Lineage: Eukaryota; Viridiplantae; Streptophyta; Magnoliopsida; Gentianales; Rubiaceae.
CUAGAUGUAGUACUCAAUGAUCCAAAUAUAAUACUUGCAUGAGUAGUUAGGGAUACCACAACCUAAGGAGCUUUCAUUUGUUAUUUUCUUGUAUAAUUUCAGUAGGCUUUAAUUUGUUAUAAUUCAUUGAUAGUCUAAAUAAUAGAGAAGCUUUAGUAGUACCGGUAAUUGCAAUCUUCCUUGUGGGAUCGACCCUUAAUACCCUAUACUCGCUCACGAUUCGUAUACUUGCGAUAAAUCGCGUGUGGGGUAUUUAGGAGUUUAUAAAUGUAAAACUUGAUUAGGAUGAGUUUAAUUGUAU